GCGGAAGUGGCGAAAUUGGCAGACGCACUGGAUUUAGGUUCCAGCGCCGCGAGGCGUGUGGGUUCAAGUCCCACCUUCCGCACCA
Molecule: transfer RNA, 85 nt
Filed under: Candidatus Rhodoluna planktonica
Lineage: Bacteria; Bacillati; Actinomycetota; Actinomycetes; Micrococcales; Microbacteriaceae
Description: tRNA-Leu
Rfam family: tRNA
About the family: Transfer RNA (tRNA) molecules are approximately 80 nucleotides in length. Their secondary structure includes four short double-helical elements and three loops (D, anti-codon, and T loops). Further hydrogen bonds mediate the characteristic L-shaped molecular structure. tRNAs have two regions of fundamental functional importance: the anti-codon, which is responsible for specific mRNA codon recognition, and the 3' end, to which the tRNAs corresponding amino acid is attached (by aminoacyl-tRNA synthetases). tRNAs cope with the degeneracy of the genetic code in two manners: having more than one tRNA (with a specific anti-codon) for a particular amino acid; and 'wobble' base-pairing, i.e. permitting non-standard base-pairing at the 3rd anti-codon position.
Source: RNAcentral